This 468-nucleotide ribosomal RNA is filed under the name uncultured bacterium. Its description in RNAcentral is "partial 16S ribosomal RNA". It matches the Rfam family "Bacterial small subunit ribosomal RNA", at positions 28 to 507 of the family's 1533-position model. The record is from RNAcentral.
GAUGAACGCUGGCGGCGUGCUUAACACAUGCAAGUCGAACGGUGAAGGCGGAGCUUGCUCUGCUGGAUCAGUGGCGAACGGGUGAGUAACACGUGAGCAAUCUGCCCCUGACUCUGGGAUAAGCGCUGGAAACGGCGUCUAAUACUGGAUACGAGCUGCGAAGGCAUCUUCAGCAGCUGGAAAUAAUUUCGGUCAGGGAUGAGCUCGCGGCCUAUCAGCUUGUUGGUGAGGUACUGGCUCACCAAGGCGUCGACGGGUAGCCGGCCUGAGAGGGUGACCGGCCACACUGGGACUGAGACACGGCCCAGACUCCUACGGGAGGCAGCAGUGGGGAAUAUUGCACAAUGGGCGAAAGCCUGAUGCAGCAACGCCGCGUGAGGGACGACGGCCUUCGGGUUGUAAACCUCUUUUAGCAGGGAAGAAGCGAAAGUGACGGUACCUGCAGAAAAAGCGCCGGCUAACUACGUG